UGAGACCUUGAGUCUCCUGAAGGAACGUUGAAGACGACGACGUUGAUAGGUCGGGUGUGUAAGCGCAGCGAUGCGUUGAGCUAACCGAUACUAAUGAACCGUGAGGCUUAACCUUACAACGCCGAAGGUGUUU
RNAcentral lists this ribosomal RNA (133 nucleotides) under Enterobacter hormaechei. Its description in RNAcentral is "partial 23S ribosomal RNA". The stretch from base 1 to 115 matches the Rfam family "Bacterial large subunit ribosomal RNA", at positions 2800 to 2925 of the family's 2925-position model. The record is from RNAcentral. Lineage: Bacteria; Pseudomonadati; Pseudomonadota; Gammaproteobacteria; Enterobacterales; Enterobacteriaceae.